AUACGGAGGGUGCAAGCGUUAUUCGGAAUCACUGGGCGUAAAGGACGCGUAGGCGGGUUGGCAAGUCAGAUAUGAAAUCCUACAGCUUAACUGUAGAACUGCAUUUGAAACUGCUAACCUAGAGUAUGGGAGGGGGAGAUGGAAUUAGUGGUGUAGGGGUAAAAUCCGUAGAUAUCACUAGGAAUACCGAAAGCGAAGGCGAUCUCCUGGAACAUAACUGACGCUAAGGCGUGAAAGCGUGGGGAGCAAACAGGAUUAGAAACCCUUGUAGUCC
This 274-nucleotide ribosomal RNA is filed under the name uncultured bacterium. Its description in RNAcentral is "partial 16S ribosomal RNA". It matches the Rfam family "Bacterial small subunit ribosomal RNA", at positions 523 to 796 of the family's 1533-position model. The record is from RNAcentral.